Molecule: ribosomal RNA, 433 nt
Filed under: uncultured bacterium
Lineage: Bacteria
Description: partial 16S ribosomal RNA
Rfam family: Bacterial small subunit ribosomal RNA
Source: RNAcentral
AACGAACGCUGGCGGCAUGCCUAACACAUGCAAGUCGAACGAGACCUUCGGGUCUAGUGGCGCACGGGUGCGUAACGCGUGGGAACCUGCCCUUAGGUUCGGAAUAACUCCCCGAAAGGGGUGCUAAUACCGGAUAAUGUCUGCGGACCAAAGAUUUAUCGCCUUUGGAUGGGCCCGCGUUGGAUUAGCUAGUUGGUAGGGUAAAAGCCUACCAAGGCGACGAUCCAUAGCUGGUCUGAGAGGAUGAUCAGCCACACUGGGACUGAGACACGGCCCAGACUCCUACGGGAGGCAGCAGUGGGGAAUAUUGGAAAAUGGGCGAAAGCCUGAUCCAGCAAUGCCGCGUGAGUGAUGAAGGCCUUAGGGUUGUAAAGCUCUUUUACCCGGGAUGAUAAUGACAGUACCGGGAGAAUAAGCUCCGGCUAACUCCGUG